GACGAACGCUGGCGGCGUGCUUAACACAUGCAAGUCGAACGGAAAGGCCCUGCUUUUGUGGGGUGCUCGAGUGGCGAACGGGUGAGUAACAAGUGAGUAACCUGCCCUUGACUUUGGGAUAACUUCAGGAAACUGGGGCUAAUACCUGAUAGGAGCUCCUGCUGCAUGGUGGGGGUUGGAAAGUUUCGGCGGUUGGGGAUGGACUCGCGGCUUAUCAGCUUGUUGGUGGGGUAGUGGCUUACCAAGGCUUUGACGGGUAGCCGGCCUGAGAGGGUGACCGGCCACAUUGGGACUGAGAUACGGCCCAGACUCCUACGGGAGGCAGCAGUGGGGAAUAUUGCACAAUGGGCGGAAGCCUGAUGCAGCAACGCCGCGUGCGGGAUGACGGCCUUCGGGUUGUAAACCGCUUUCGCCUGUGACGAAGCGUGAGUGACGGUAAUGGGUAAAGAAGCACCGGCUAACUACGUG
Molecule: ribosomal RNA, 468 nt
Filed under: uncultured bacterium
Lineage: Bacteria
Description: partial 16S ribosomal RNA
Rfam family: Bacterial small subunit ribosomal RNA
Source: RNAcentral